UGAGUUUGCGCCUGGCGCAGGUCGAACGCAGUCGGCUUGCCUACUACAUGCUGUCGAGCGGACAGAUGGGAGCUUGCUCCCUGAUGUUAGCGGCGGACGGGUGAGUAACACGUGGGUAACCUGCCUGUAAGACUGGGAUAACUCCGGGAAACCGGGGCUAAUACCGGAUGGUUGUUUGAACCGCAUGGUUCAAACAUAAAAGGUGGCUUCGGCUACCACUUACAGAUGGACCCGCGGCGCAUUAGCUAGUUGGUGAGGUAACGGCUCACCAAGGCAACGAUGCGUAGCCGACCUGAGAGGGUGAUCGGCCACACUGGGACUGAGACACGGCCCAGACUCCUACGGGAGGCAGCAGUAGGGAAUCUUCCGCAAUGGACGAAAGUCUGACGGAGCAACGCCGCGUGAGUGAUGAAGGUUUUCGGAUCGUAAAGCUCUGUUGUUAGGGAAGAACAAGUACCGUUCGAAUAGGGCGGUACCUUGACGGUACCUAACCAGAAAGCCACGGCUAACUACGUGCCAGCAGCCGCGGUAAUACGUAGGUGGCAAGCGUUGUCCGGAAUUAUUGGGCGUAAAGGGCUCGCAGGCGGUUUCUUAAGUCUGAUGUGAAAGCCCCCGGCUCAACCGGGGAGGGUCAUUGGAAACUGGGGAACUUGAGUGCAGAAGAGGAGAGUGGAAUUCCACGUGUAGCG
RNAcentral lists this ribosomal RNA (689 nucleotides) under Bacillus subtilis. Its description in RNAcentral is "bacterial SSU rRNA". It matches the Rfam family "Bacterial small subunit ribosomal RNA", at positions 1 to 680 of the family's 1533-position model. Lineage: Bacteria; Bacillati; Bacillota; Bacilli; Caryophanales; Bacillaceae. The record is from RNAcentral.